GACGAACGCUGGCGGCGUGCUUAACACAUGCAAGUCGAACGAUGAACCCGGAGCUUGCUCUGGGGGAUUAGUGGCGAACGGGUGAGUAACACGUGAGUAACCUGCCAUGGACUCUGGGAUAAGCGUUGGAAACGACGUCUAAUACCGGAUAGGACCUUGGAUCGCAUGAUCUGGGGUGGAAAGUUUUUUCGGUCUGGGAUGGACUCGCGGCCUAUCAGCUUGUUGGUGAGGUAAUGGCUCACCAAGGCGUCGACGGGUAGCCGGCCUGAGAGGGUGACCGGCCACACUGGGACUGAGACACGGCCCAGACUCCUACGGGAGGCAGCAGUGGGGAAUAUUGCACAAUUUGCGAAAUCCUGAUGCAGCAACUCCACGUGCGGGAUGACGGCCUUCGGGUUGUAAGCCUCUUUUAGUAGUGAAGAAGGGCAUCGGCUUGACGGUACCUGCAGAAAAAGGACCGGCUAACUACGUG
RNAcentral lists this ribosomal RNA (472 nucleotides) under uncultured bacterium. RNAcentral's name for it is "partial 16S ribosomal RNA". It matches the Rfam family "Bacterial small subunit ribosomal RNA", at positions 28 to 507 of the family's 1533-position model. The record is from RNAcentral.